AUUGAACGCUGGCGGCAGGCCUAACACAUGCAAGUCGAGCGGAUGAAGGGAGCUUGCUCCUGGAUUCAGCGGCGGACGGGUGAGUAAUGCCUAGGAAUCUGCCUGGCAGUGGGGGAUAACGUCCGGAAACGGGCGCUAAUACCGCAUACGUCCUGAGGGAGAAAGUGGGGGAUCUUCGGACCUCACGCUAUUAGAUGAGCCUAGGUCGGAUUAGCUAGUUGGUGGGGUAAAGGCCUACCAAGGCGACGAUCCGUAACUGGUCUGAGAGGAUGAUCAGUCACACUGGAACUGAGACACGGUCCAGACUCCUACGGGAGGCAGCAGUGGGGAAUAUUGGACAGUGGGCGAAAGCCUGAUCCAGCCAUGCCGCGUGUGUGAAGAAGGUCUUCGGAUUGUAAAGCACUUUAAGUUGGGAGGAAGGGCAGUAAGUUAAUACCUUGCUGUUUUGACGUUACCAACAGAAUAAGCACCGGCUAACUUCGUG
Molecule: ribosomal RNA, 484 nt
Filed under: uncultured bacterium
Lineage: Bacteria
Description: partial 16S ribosomal RNA
Rfam family: Bacterial small subunit ribosomal RNA
Source: RNAcentral